AACAAGGCGUACCUGCGGACCUGCGGAGGGAUCAUUACCAGAGUGCCUUCAGGCUCUCCAACCCACUGUGAACAUACCUACGUUCCCCCGGCGGGCCCAGCGCGCGGCGGCUCCGGCCGCCCGCGUCCGCCGAGGGCAUCUCAAACCCGAAUUUAUUCGUGUCUUCUGAGGGGCGAAAGCCCGUAAAACAAAAUGAAUCAAAACUUUUAGCAAUGGAUCU
RNAcentral lists this unclassified non-coding RNA (220 nucleotides) under soil metagenome. RNAcentral's name for it is "partial contains 5.8S ribosomal RNA, internal transcribed spacer 2, and large subunit ribosomal RNA". The record is from RNAcentral.